UACGGAGGGGGCUAGCGUUGUUCGGAAUUACUGGGCGUAAAGCGCACGUAGGCGGCUUUGUAAGUUAGAGGUGAAAGCCCGGGGCUCAACCCCGGAAUUGCCUUUAAGACUGCAUCGCUUGAACGUCGGAGAGGUGAGUGGAAUUCCGAGUGUAGAGGUGAAAUUCGUAGAUAUUCGGAAGAACACCAGUGGCGAAGGCGGCCAUCUGGACCGCAACUGACGCUGAGGCGCGAAAGCGUGGGGAGCAAACAGG
This 253-nucleotide ribosomal RNA is filed under the name uncultured bacterium. RNAcentral describes it as "partial 16S ribosomal RNA". It matches the Rfam family "Bacterial small subunit ribosomal RNA", at positions 524 to 776 of the family's 1533-position model. The record is from RNAcentral.